CACGUAGGGCGCAAGCGUUGUCCGGAAUUAUUGGGCGUAAAGAGCUCGUAGGCGGUCUGUCGCGUCGGAUGUGAAAAUCCAGGGCUUAACCCUGGGCCUGCAUUCGAUACGGGCAGACUAGAGUUCGGUAGGGGAGACUGGAAUUCCUGGUGUAGCGGUGAAAUGCGCAGAUAUCAGGAGGAACACCGGUGGCGAAGGCGGGUCUCUAGGCCGACACUGACGCUGAGGAGCGAAAGCGUGGGGAGCGAACAGG
RNAcentral lists this ribosomal RNA (253 nucleotides) under uncultured bacterium. RNAcentral describes it as "partial 16S ribosomal RNA". It matches the Rfam family "Bacterial small subunit ribosomal RNA", at positions 524 to 776 of the family's 1533-position model. The record is from RNAcentral.